AGCGGCGGACGGGUGAGUAACACGUGGGUAACCUGCCCAAGAGACUGGGAUAACACCUGGAAACAGAUGCUAAUACCGGAUAACAACACUAGACGCAUGUCUAGAGUUUGAAAGAUGGUUCUGCUAUCACUCUUGGAUGGACCUGCGGUGCAUUAGCUAGUUGGUAAGGUAACGGCUUACCAAGGCAAUGAUGCAUAGCCGAGUUGAGAGACUGAUCGGCCACAUUGGGACUGAGACACGGCCCAAACUCCUACGGGAGGCAGCAGUAGGGAAUCUUCCACAAUGGACGAAAGUCUGAUGGAGCAACGCCCCGUGAGUGAAGAAGGGUUUCGGCUCGUAAAGCUCUGUUGGUAGUGAAGAAAGAUAGAGGUAGUAACUGGCCUUUAUUUGACGGUAAUUACUUAGAAAGUCACGGCUAACUACGUGCCAGCAGCCGCGGUAAUACGUAGGUGGCAAGCGUUGUCCGGAUUUAUUGGGCGUAAAGCGAGUGCAGGCGGUUCAAUAAGUCUGAUGUGAAAGCCUUCGGCUCAACCGGAGAAUUGCAUCAGAAACUGUUGAACUUGAGUGCAGAAGAGGAGAGUGGAACUCCAUGUGUAGCGGUGGAAUGCGUAGAUAUAUGGAAGAACACCAGUGGCGAAGGCGGCCCUCUGGUCUGCAACUGACGCUGAGGCUCGAAAGCAUGGGUAGCGAACAGGAUUAGAUACCCUGGUAGUCCAUGCCGUAAACGAUGAGUGCUAAGUGU
Molecule: ribosomal RNA, 742 nt
Filed under: uncultured bacterium
Lineage: Bacteria
Description: bacterial SSU rRNA
Rfam family: Bacterial small subunit ribosomal RNA
Source: RNAcentral